GGACUACUGGGGUAUCUAAUCCUGUUCGCUCCCCACGCUUUCGCUCCUCAGCGUCAGAACUGGCCCAGCAAGCCGCCUUCGCCACCGGUGUUCCUCCUGAUAUCUGCGCAUUUCACCGCUACACCAGGAAUUCCGCUUGCCCCUACCAGCCUCUAGCCUGCCCGUAUCCACCGCAGACCCGCAGUUAAGCCACGGGCUUUCACGGCAGACGCAACAAGCCACCUACGAGCUCUUUACGCCCAAUAAUUCCGGACAACGCUUGCGCCCUACGUAUUACCGCGGCGGCUGGCAC
Molecule: ribosomal RNA, 292 nt
Filed under: uncultured bacterium
Lineage: Bacteria
Description: partial 16S ribosomal RNA
Source: RNAcentral